AAUAGAUACCCAGGUAGUCCACGCCCUAAACGAUGUCUACUAGUUGUUGGUGGAGUAAAAUCCAUUAGUAACGCAGCUAACGCGUGAAGUAGACCGCCUGGGGAGUACGGUCGCAAGAUUAAAACUCAAAGGAAUUGACGGGGGGCCCGCACAAGCGGUGGAUUAUGUGGAUUAAUUCGAUGCAACGCGAAAAACCUUACCUGGCCUUGACAUGCCACUAACGAAGCAGAGAUGCAUUAGGUGCCCGAAAGGGAAAGUGGACACAGGUGCUGCAUGGCUGUCGUCAGCUCGUGUCGUGAGAUGUUGGGUUAAGUCCCGCAACGAGCGCAACCCUUGCCAAUAAUUGCCAUCAUUCAGUUGGGCACUUUAUUGGGGACUGCCGGUGACAAACCGGAGGAAGGUGGGGAUGACGUCAAGUCCUCAUGGCCCUUAUGGCCAGGGCUUCACACGUAAUACAAUGGUCGGUACAGAGGGUAGCCAAGCCGCGAGGUGGAGCCAAUCCCAGAAAGCCGAUCGUAGUCCGGAUUGCAGU
RNAcentral lists this ribosomal RNA (532 nucleotides) under uncultured bacterium. RNAcentral describes it as "bacterial SSU rRNA". It matches the Rfam family "Bacterial small subunit ribosomal RNA", at positions 777 to 1304 of the family's 1533-position model. The record is from RNAcentral.